RNAcentral lists this transfer RNA (64 nucleotides) under Magallana gigas (Pacific oyster). RNAcentral describes it as "Crassostrea gigas (Pacific oyster) tRNA". It matches the Rfam family "tRNA", at positions 5 to 66 of the family's 71-position model. From Rfam's summary of the family: Transfer RNA (tRNA) molecules are approximately 80 nucleotides in length. Lineage: Eukaryota; Metazoa; Mollusca; Bivalvia; Ostreida; Ostreidae. The record is from Rfam by way of RNAcentral.
CUGUAGCUCAAUUGGUAGAGUGCUAAAUUUGCAUGACAGAAGACCUGGGUUCAAACCCCAGCAG